Molecule: ribosomal RNA, 468 nt
Filed under: uncultured bacterium
Lineage: Bacteria
Description: partial 16S ribosomal RNA
Rfam family: Bacterial small subunit ribosomal RNA
Source: RNAcentral
GACGAACGCUGGCGGCGUGCUUACCACAUGCAAGUCGAACGGAAGGGCCCUGCUUUUGUGGGGUGCUCGAGUGGCGAACGGGUGAGUAACACGUGAGUAACCUGCCCUUGACUUUGGGAUAACUUCAGGAAACUGGGGCUAAUACCGGAUAGGAGCUCCUGCUGCAUGGUGGGGGUUGGAAAGUUUCGGCGGUUGGGGAUGGACUCGCGGCUUAUCAGCUUGUUGGUGGGGUAGUGGCUUACCAAGGCUUUGACGGGUAGCCGGCCUGAGAGGGUGACCGGCCACAUUGGGACUGAGAUACGGCCCAGACUCCUACGGGAGGCAGCAGUGGGGAAUAUUGCACAAUGGGCGGAAGCCUGAUGCAGCAACGCCGCGUGCGGGAUGACGGCCUUCGGGUUGUAAACCGCUUUCGCCUGUGACGAAGCGUGAGUGACGGUAAUGGGUAAAGAAGCACCGGCUAACUACGUG